UACGUAGGGGGCUAGCGUUGUCCGUAUUUAUUGGGCGUAAAGAGCUCGUAGGCGGUUUGGUAAGUCGGGUGUGAAAUCUCCACGCUCAACGUGGAGGGGCCACUCGAUACUGCCAUGACUCGAGUCCGGUAGAGGAGUGUGGAAUUCCCGGUGUAGCGGUGAAAUGCGCAGAUAUCGGGAGGAACACCGGUGGCGAAGGCGGGUCUCUGGGCCGAUACUGACGCUGAGGAGCGAAAGCGUGGGGAGCGAACAGG
RNAcentral lists this ribosomal RNA (254 nucleotides) under uncultured bacterium. Its description in RNAcentral is "partial 16S ribosomal RNA". It matches the Rfam family "Bacterial small subunit ribosomal RNA", at positions 524 to 776 of the family's 1533-position model. The record is from RNAcentral.